GACGAACGCUGGCGGCGUGCUUAACACAUGCAAGUCGAACGGAAAGGCCCUGCUUUUGUGGGGUGCUCGAGUGGCGAACGGGUGAGUAACACGUGAGUAACCUGCCCUUGACUUUGGGAUAACUUCAGGAAACUGGGGCUAAUACCGGAUAGGAGCUCCUGCUGCAUGGUGGGGGUUGGAAAGUUUCGGCGGUUGGGGAUGGACUCGCGGCUUAUCAGCUUGUUGGUGGGGUAGUGGCUUACCAAGGCUUUGACGGGUAGCCGGCCUGAGAGGGUGACCGGCCACAUUGGGACUGAGAUACGGCCCAGACUCCUACGGGAGGCAGAAGUGGGGAAUAUUGCACAAUGGGCGGAAGCCUGAUGCAGCAGCGCCGCGUGCGGGAUGACGGCCUUCGGGUUGUAAACCGCUUUCGCCUGUGACGAAGCGUGAGUGACGGUAAUAGGUAAAGAAGCACCGGCUAACUACGUG
This 468-nucleotide ribosomal RNA is filed under the name uncultured bacterium. Its description in RNAcentral is "partial 16S ribosomal RNA". It matches the Rfam family "Bacterial small subunit ribosomal RNA", at positions 28 to 507 of the family's 1533-position model. The record is from RNAcentral.